CCUACGGGUGGCAGCAGUAGGGAAUGUUGCGCAAUGGGCGAAAGCCUGACGCAGCAACGCCGCGUGAUUGAUGAAGCCCUUCGGGGUGUAAAGAUCUGUCAGUGGGGACGAAACUUGACGGGACCCACAGAGGAAGCACCGGCUAACUCCGUGCCAGCAGCCGCGGUAAUACGGAGGGUACAAGCGUUGUCCGGAAUCAUUGGGCGUAAAGAGUUCGUAGGUGGAAGAGUAAGUCUGGUGUUAAAUGCCGAAGCUCAACUUCUGUUCGGCACUGGAUACUGGUAAGCUGGAAUGCGGUAGAGGUAACGGGAAUUCCUGUUGUCGCGGUGACAUGCGUAGAUAUCAGGAGGAACAUCGGUGGCG
RNAcentral lists this ribosomal RNA (363 nucleotides) under uncultured bacterium. RNAcentral describes it as "partial 16S ribosomal RNA". It matches the Rfam family "Bacterial small subunit ribosomal RNA", at positions 338 to 717 of the family's 1533-position model. The record is from RNAcentral.